UGGGGAAUUUUGCACAAUGGGGGAAACCCUGAUGCAGCGACGCCGCGUGAUUUAGAAGGCCUUCGGGUUGUAAAAAUCUUUUCUAUGGGAAGAAAAUGACAGUACCAUAGGAAUAAGGACCGGCUAAUUACGUGCCAGCAGCCGCGGUAAUACGUAAGGUCCGAGCGUUGUCCGGAAUCAUUGGGCGUAAAGGGUACGUAGGCGGGUAAGCAAGUUAGAAGUGAAAUCCUAUAGCUCAACUAUAGUAAGCUUUUAAAACUGCUCAUCUUGAGGUAUGGAAGGGAAAGUGGAAUUCCUAGUGUAGCGGUGAAAUGCGCAGAUAUUAGGAGGAAUACCGGUGGCGAAGGCGACUUUCUGGCCAUAACCUGACGCUGAGGUACGAAAGCGUGGGUAGCAAAAAGG
Molecule: ribosomal RNA, 402 nt
Filed under: bacterium
Lineage: Bacteria
Description: partial 16S ribosomal RNA
Rfam family: Bacterial small subunit ribosomal RNA
Source: RNAcentral